Piliocolobus tephrosceles (Ugandan red Colobus) is the source of this 1559-nucleotide long non-coding RNA. RefSeq lists it as uncharacterized. NCBI's taxonomy places the organism in Eukaryota, Metazoa, Chordata, Mammalia, Primates, Cercopithecidae. The record is from RefSeq and is a predicted model, not a curated record. The transcript has 3 exons.
ACACCACUGCACCCAUCCUGGGUGACAGAGGAAGACCCUGUCUCUAAAACAUAAAGAAAAGAAAAGAAAAUACAAUUUGAGGAACAUUCAACAAAAUAAUUGAUCAGUACUCUUCAGAAGUAUCAAGGUCAUGAAAGAGCAGGAAAGACUAAGAAACUUACAGUCUACAGGAGACUGAGAAGAAAUAACAACUAAAUGCAAUGUGGGAUUCUGUGUAGGAUUCUGUACCAGAAAAAGGACACUGAAGGAAAAACUGACAAAAUUCAAAUAAGGGCUUACAGUAUAAUAAGUAAUAUACCAAUGUGGAUUUCCUGGUUCUAAUAAUAGUACUAUGAUUAUGUAACAUGUUAAACAUUUAAGGAAGCUAUGUGCAGAGUGUAUGGAAACCCACUAUACUAUUUUUGCAUCUUCUUCAUGAACUAAAGUUUAUUCACAGUAAAAAGUUAAAUGAUUUUUUGAAAAUAAAGAGCCUGUCGGCCACCCCAGCUGAAGGGAAAGCCUCCUUCCAAGCCACUGUUUUCUACAGGUUCAGGCUCCAGCCGUGAUAUGCAAGCCCAUCUCACUCCACACCUGUCAUACUCCAGCCUUCCCUAAGGUCAUCCUUCUCAAUUUAUUAUGCAGAAUGACUUGUCUCUCCUCUACUAACUGAAGGCUAACCUUCAAAAACUCAUUAAUAUGUUGAAACACGGGGUAAUGUAGUCCAGGUCUUUCCUUCAGCAGCCCAGGGGAACCAGCAGAGGCUUCAUAAUUUUAGACUUUCCUUUCUCCAUUUCCCAGGCCCUGAGAAGAGAAGAUCAGAAUAAAGAUUGAUUUCCUCAUUGAUGUGAAUUUUGUCACAACCACCAUCUUUGGAAUUCAGAUGUUACUAUGAAGUAUUAAGACCUUCCUCUUUAGUUUUCUGAAACUUUACCAUGAACUGUCAAGGCUGAAGAGGAAGAAGAGGAGGAGGAGGAGAGGUCGGUCUUGCUGUCUCAGGAGCAGCAGAGAUGGAAUAAAAUCCACGUAUAAGUGGACCCAAACAAUUAAAACUCAUGUUGUUUAAGUGUCUACUGUAUAUCCCUUUGAACAAUAAUUUUCAUAUUUUCAGGUAGAAGACUUAUUUUAAUACUGUUUCAAACAACCAAGAAGCUCAUUUUGUUCUAAAUUAACUUUUGCGGUAUAAUAUGGAUUUGUUAUACUCAGAAACAAAAUUUUAAAUAGCAAAAGGCUCUGAGAAAACAGCCACUUAAUUUUAAAUCUGUCUUUAUUUUUGUUUACAGUAGUAUUUUUAUAUUGACCUCAACUAAUAAAAACAUGUUGAAAAUAAAAAAUGCAGGAUGGAAGAGGUGGUGUGGAUCCUCUGAACAGCCAAAAGAGAAGUAAUAAAGUUGAGGUUUUCAUAAGUGAGAGCUUUGGACCAACAGUAUUUUGUUGACCGUAGUCCAUUUUUUUGUCUCAGUAAACCUUUUAGAUGUGUUAUGGGGUAUAACAAAAGCAAAAGCAAAGGUAGAAAGAAUAACUCUCCAGAGAUACACCACCCAAAGACUGCCACUGUUAAUAUUUUGAUCUAUUAAAUCUAU